Molecule: ribosomal RNA, 305 nt
Filed under: uncultured bacterium
Lineage: Bacteria
Description: bacterial SSU rRNA
Rfam family: Bacterial small subunit ribosomal RNA
Source: RNAcentral
CCUACGGGGCGCAGCAGUGGGGAAUAUUGCACAAUGGGGGAAACCCUGAUGCAGCGAUGCCGCGUGGAGGAAGAGGGUUUUCGGAUUGUAAACUCCUUUUAUCAGGGACGAUAAUGACGGUACCUGAAGAAAAAGCUCCGGCUAACUACGUGCCAGCAGCCGCGGUAAUACGUAGGGAGCGAGCGUUGUCCGGAAUUACUGGGUGUAAAGGGAGCGUAGGUGGCAUGGUAAGCCAGAAGUGAAAACCCAGGGCUCAACUCUGUGGAUUGCUUUUGGAACUAUCAAGCUAGAGUGCUGGAGGGGUA